CCUACGGGAGGCAGCAGUGGGGAAUAUUGCACAAUGGGGGGAACCCUGAUGCAGCGACGCCGCGUGAGCGAUGACGGAUUUCGGUAUGGAAAGCUCUAUCAGCAGGGACGAAAAAAGACGGUCCCGGACUAAGAAGCCCCGGCUAACUACGUACCAGCAGCCGCGGUAAUACGUAGGGGGCAGGCGUUAUCCGGAUUUACUGGGUGUAAAGGGAGCGUAGGCGGGAAGGCAAGCCAGAAGUGAAAGGGCAGGGCUCAACCCUGUACCUGCUUUUGGAACUGUGGUGCUAGAGUGCAGGAGAGGUAAGUGGAAUUCCUAGUGUAGCGGUGAAAUGCGUAGAUAUUAGGAGGAACACCAGUGGCGAAGGCGGCUUACUGGAGUGGAACUGACGUUGAGGCUCGAAAGCGUGGGGAGCAAACAGGAUUAGAUACCCGUGUAGUC
This 441-nucleotide ribosomal RNA is filed under the name uncultured bacterium. RNAcentral's name for it is "partial 16S ribosomal RNA". It matches the Rfam family "Bacterial small subunit ribosomal RNA", at positions 338 to 795 of the family's 1533-position model. The record is from RNAcentral.